Molecule: long non-coding RNA, 488 nt
Organism: Mytilus californianus (California mussel)
Lineage: Eukaryota; Metazoa; Mollusca; Bivalvia; Mytilida; Mytilidae
Exons: 4
Source: RefSeq, a predicted model, not a curated record
AAUAGCAGCAUUGUUAAUGCUGCUCCUACUCUGCGUCACAGAAGGUGGACGGUAUUCAAAAAGUCCAUUUAAAUAUGUGAUGUUCUGUCCGGACGGAGAAGUUCAUGAUAAGUUAAUAUCUAAUCCAAUCAGAUACACAUGUAAACCAGGACCAGGAAGAAACGUAAAAUGUCAAACUUUAUUUUAUAAUUUGAAAGGAUAUUUUGAAUGUCCAGGAAAAGGCUAUAUGAGUGGCUUUGAGUAUACUAUGGGAUAUGGUGAGAACGUUCGGUGCUGUCAGGACCGAGAUAUCACAUACUCUAAGGAAGACUGUACAGUACAACUUAACAAUGAUUUGAUAAAUGGGCGAUCAUACAGAAUAUCUAAAGGGAAAGUUAUGGUUGGUUCGAAAACCUUAGACGGCGGGAGAACCUGGUACAACACGGAGUGCUCAUUUCGUCCAAAACGAAAGUAUUAAAAGAUAGAGAAAGACAAUCUACACAAACGAA